UGUUUAGGGAGAAAGAUCUUUGCCUUAUUUUAAGUAAGAUCAAAGAUCACCUGUGUAUGUCAAAAGGGAAACAGCCCAGAACAAAAGUUAAGGUUCCAAAAUUAUUGUUAAGUGAAAUUAAGAAGGUUUUUAUUUGAGUCGACAAGGAGAUGGGCUUAGAAGCAGCCAUAAUUUGAAGACCUCGUAACAGAGCGCUCGUUAAAUCUUUAAAAGCAUCGAAAAUUUAACGGAUCUAAACAAUAUACCGAAACUUUGUCCUCAUUUAAACAUAAUUUUUUAUUAUUGUUAUUUGCAGGGGUAGCAGAACGUUGGGUUAUAUUAGAUUUGGUAUUUUUUAAAUUCAAAUAAAAAAACUCAAGUG
RNAcentral lists this non-coding RNA (361 nucleotides) under Diaporthe ampelina. RNAcentral's name for it is "Bacterial large subunit ribosomal RNA". It matches the Rfam family "Bacterial large subunit ribosomal RNA", at positions 973 to 1290 of the family's 2925-position model. The record is from Rfam by way of RNAcentral. Lineage: Eukaryota; Fungi; Ascomycota; Sordariomycetes; Diaporthales; Diaporthaceae.